GACGAACGCUGGCGGCGUGCUUAACACAUGCAAGUCGAACGAUGAAGCCGGAGCAUGCUCUGGUGAAUUAGUGGCGAACGGGUGAGUAACACGUGAGUAACCUGCCCUUGACUCUGGGAUAACUGCGGGAAACUGUAGCUAAUACCGGAUACGACCCUCGGAGGCAUCUCCUGGGGGUGGAAAGAAUUUCGGUCAAGGAUGGACUCGCGGCCUAUCAGCUAGUUGGUGAGGUAAAGGCUCACCAAGGCGACGACGGGUAGUCGGCCUGAGAGGGUGACCGGCCACACUGGGACUGAGACACGGCCCAGACUCCUACGGGAGGCAGCAGUGGGGAAUAUUGCACAAUGGGCGCAAGCCUGAUGCAGCAACGCUGCGUAAGGGAUGAAGGCCUUCGGGUUGUAAACCUCUUUCAGUAGGGAAGAAGCGAAAGUGACGGUACCUAAAGAAGAAGCACCGGCUAACUAUGUGCCAGCAGCCGCCGUAA
RNAcentral lists this ribosomal RNA (484 nucleotides) under uncultured bacterium. RNAcentral describes it as "partial 16S ribosomal RNA". It matches the Rfam family "Bacterial small subunit ribosomal RNA", at positions 28 to 523 of the family's 1533-position model. The record is from RNAcentral.